This 292-nucleotide ribosomal RNA is filed under the name uncultured bacterium. Its description in RNAcentral is "partial 16S ribosomal RNA". It matches the Rfam family "Bacterial small subunit ribosomal RNA", at positions 505 to 796 of the family's 1533-position model. The record is from RNAcentral.
GUGCCAGCAGCCGCGGUAAUACGUAGGGUGCAAGCGUUAAUCGGAAUUACUGGGCGUAAAGCGUGCGCAGGCGGCUUUGCAAGACAGAUGUGAAAUCCCCGGGCUCAACCUGGGAACUGCAUUCGAUACUGACAGGCUAGAGAACGGUAGAGGGAGGCGGAAUUCCGGGUGUAGCAGUGAAAUGCGUAGAGAUGUGGAGGAACACCGAUGGCGAAGGCAGCCCCCUGGGCUGAGAUUGACGCUCAGGCACGAAAGCGUGGGGAGCGAACAGGAUUAGAUACCCUGGUAGUCC